CAGUGCUGUAGCUCACAACAUUAGGCGUGAUUCUAUUCACAUGCAUCUGAGCGAGGAUGUCGAAAGAAAGAUCCAUCUGCCCUCCUUUGCAGAUCGCGUCCAAGAGUGUGUUGUAAGAAAACACGUCUUGCUUGAUCUUUCUAUUCGCCAUCUCAUCAAAGAGGCUCCUCGCUACCUCCCACAACCCUCCUCUGCUGCAUACACCGAGGAGAGAGUUGAAUUGAUUCUAUCUGGCUGCACACCGUUCCUCUCCAUGUCAUCGAAGAACUCGGCUACUUUGUUGAAAGACAUACCUCCUUUACCACACGCGUCGAUGACGGCGUUGUAAGUGGCCUGUGAGAUAACAAAUUAAGUCUCACAUCGGAUAUUAAACAAAUGAAAAUCUAAUAUAUAAAGAGAAGUCCAACUCUAAUAGUACGAGGCUUUUUGGGAUGGAAACCAAAAAGUAAAUCCAUGCGGGCCAGCCUCCUAGGCCCAAAGUGGACAAUAUCGUACUAAUCGGAUAAUAUAGAGUUGGACAUGAGAUUUCACAAUCUCAACAAUUAGUAUUAGAGCGGUUUGACGAAAAUCUGCAAGAAGACCAAAAUACCCUUUAAGUAAGAACAUGAUCCUUGGAAGAAGAAAGGAGGUUUGGCAGAGAUUAGUCAGAAAAUCAUAGAACAUGUGAUGUGUUGUGGGAGAAACAUUCUAAAAAGAAAGCCCUGCGAUUACUGGUACAAAGUGGUCUCGAAGAUGAUUCACCGAAGGAAACAUACGAGAUGAAUGUGGUCCUUAGCUUGAGGGAGAGAAUGUGAGAUAACAAGAUAAGUCCCAAAUCGGAUAUUAGAAAAAUGAAAAUUUAAUAUAUAAAGAGAAGUCCAACUCUAAUAGUACGAAGUAAAUCCAUGCGGGCCAGCCUCCUAUGCCCAAAGUAGACAAUAUCGUACUAAUCGGAUAAUACAGAGUUGGACAUGAGAUUUCACAAUCCCAACAUGACCAAGUUAGGCCUCAAGCCGUAGCUUUUCAUGGAGUCGAAGACGGUGAUAGCUUCCUGGUGGAGACCGCUUCUCCCUUAAGCGCUUAUGAGAGCGGAGAAGGCGUAGACAGUGUUCCCAUACCCACUGGAUAAAGCACUUUUGAAAACAGUUUUAGCGAUGGAGACUUUGCUUAACCUACCGAGAGGGCCUAUCAUAGAGCUGGCGAGCUUCCCUCGCUCGUUCACUCCUAAGGUUGGAAAGAUGAUUGCUGCGGAAGAAAAACAUAAGAAAUGGUGCCUAAAAAUGAGGUAAGCAACUUAGGAGUGAAUAAACCUUUGUGCUUCUCAAUCUUUUUCCUCCUCGGCUCAACACGAAUCCUAUACAUUCAAACUCUCUAAUCCUAUAAAUCUACCCUACCCAUAUGCACGUUUAUGCUCCAAAGUCCAAAGGUUCAUAAUUUCUUAAAGCCAACUUCCUAUAAGCAGGGCCGUGCCUGAGUAUAUUGGCCCUGAAGCAGAAAUAUUAUUUUGGCCCAUUUCUUUUAAAUAAUCUGUAAAAAUUCUAAGAAAAAGAAGCUGUGGGGCGUCAAACCCAGGUACGUAUAUACCCAAGCCAGUAACACAACCGGUUAAGCUACAUAAGAUUUCUGAAAAUAUUAGCCCUUUAAAAUAAAUAUCUUCACCGGCCCUCAAGCAUAUGCUUUAUCAGCUUUUAUUCAGGCAAUAAAGCUCCAACAUGAGGAAUACGACCCUUACCUCAUUCUUGUUAAAUCCGUAGCUGUUAUCACGGUAUGAGUUUCACCGAAGUAUCUACUUGCAUGCAAAGCACCUUCGACACUCUCGUUUAAACUUGGGAAGAAAGUUAAAAAGAAACUGAAACUGUCUACAAAGAAGAAGAAUGUGAUAUAUAAAUGGAACGUCAUUUUCUGAGAUUUUUUUUUUGUUACGAGAGUAACUAAAGCGACGUAGUAUUAUUAUAUUCUGUUUAUACCGGAGAAAAGAGGUCACUUGCCGGGAUUUAAUAGGUCUGUUAAGGAUUGACUCACAGAAUUCGGUCAAUGUAUUUUUAAGCCAAUUUCUUAUUGUUUGGGUAUGAAAUUUGAAUUAAAAUGAUGUACAGGUAUAUAGCACAGCUUGUAUGUGUAGGCUCGGAUUGGGACCGCGGCUCUCGGUGAAUUGGCCGAUUUCCCGACACUUUAUAUAGGGGUGUCAAAAUAAGCUACAGCUCAUGAGCUGACUCAGCUCAGCUCAAUUUUUCAUGAGUAUAAUCUCUAUUUUUAGGUUUAUUUAAUAAAUGAGUUUAAUGAUCGGGUGUAAAUUAGAUCAUGAGUUCUAUGAACGAUCUUUAAUGAACAUGAGCUAACUCAUGAGUUUGGUCGUUUUAUACUUUAUACGUAUACAUAUAUGGAUGACUUCUAUUUUUCUUAUGUAAGAAAAAAUAAUUUUUAUACUAAUCAUAUUUAUCUUAUAAAAUUAAAAUAUAAAACCAAAAAGUAAUAAAUAUAUACUAAAAUGUAAAAGAAUAUUGAUAUAAAUUCUCAUAUCAUAUAUUUUAUAACUAAAAUAUAAAAUUAAAUAU
Long non-coding RNA from Brassica rapa (field mustard), 2534 nucleotides. RefSeq lists it as uncharacterized. Lineage: Eukaryota; Viridiplantae; Streptophyta; Magnoliopsida; Brassicales; Brassicaceae. The record is from RefSeq and is a predicted model, not a curated record.